UGGAGGACUGAGAAGAUGAGGCAGAUGUGUACCGUGCUGCCUUCCAUCGGUUAGCCCUCCAACAGUGAAGGGUGGCCAGGCAGGGGAUGGCCCUCUGCACACUCGGAGGGGCAGCACUGCACUGGCCUACAGUCA
This is a small nucleolar RNA of Dipodomys ordii (Ord's kangaroo rat), 135 nucleotides long. Ensembl annotates it as small nucleolar RNA, H/ACA box 47. Its record names the gene Snora47. The record is from Ensembl. Lineage: Eukaryota; Metazoa; Chordata; Mammalia; Rodentia; Heteromyidae.